RNAcentral lists this non-coding RNA (45 nucleotides) under Schistosoma curassoni. The record is from RNAcentral. Lineage: Eukaryota; Metazoa; Platyhelminthes; Trematoda; Strigeidida; Schistosomatidae.
AUCGAGCUGACGAGUUCAAAAUAGGAUGAAACGCGUGUCUUGGAU